GCAUUGUUAGAAAUUUAAAAAUUUAUUUCUUACUUUGCUUUUGUACUGCUCCGUACUUGCUCCUUUGGGGAGCAGCUAACUUUCAGUCCCGUUGGGUGUGUAUGUAUAUGUAUGUAUAUAUGUAUGUAUAUGUAU
Molecule: long non-coding RNA, 135 nt
Organism: Rhagoletis zephyria (snowberry fruit fly)
Lineage: Eukaryota; Metazoa; Arthropoda; Insecta; Diptera; Tephritidae
Source: RefSeq, a predicted model, not a curated record